Pogona vitticeps (central bearded dragon) is the source of this 1775-nucleotide long non-coding RNA. Ensembl lists it as uncharacterized. The record is from Ensembl. NCBI's taxonomy places the organism in Eukaryota, Metazoa, Chordata, Lepidosauria, Squamata, Agamidae.
CAACAAGCUCUUGUGACUAAUUGCCUCCCACCAUCCUUACAACCACAAUAUCUGAAUGCAUACGAUUGUGUGGGUUACGCCUCAGCCAGCACAGCUAUAAUUCUGCUGACAAGCUCGUUUCCUCCACUAUGAGGCGACCACUUUCAUGCAGAUACAGAACCUAGGAGAGGUGCUCCUACAGAAUGUCCUGGCUGCUUGCUAUCUAUUUUCUCCUCCUUUUUCCUGGAGCUCCUGUCUCAAAAGCCAGAGAGGAGCUACCUGUUAUCAUUGCUGAGGAAGGGGAGACGACCAAUGUCACCUGCAAGUUUCAGCAUCCAAUCAAUAGGGCCUUGCAGUUGAAUCGAAUCCUUAGGAGGGCCAUGCAAGUGUUACAUGUUUCAGUGUGGGAAAAGAGAAAGACUGAGGCCCCUGAAUAUGCAAAUCGCACCGAAUACUUUGAGAUGGACAACAUGGUGACGAUAAUGCUGCGACAAGUCAAGCAGGAUGAUAGUGAUGUGUAUAUGUGUGAGGGACGUUUUCUAGAAGAGGGGGAGCCCAAGGAUAUAAACAGCAGCAGUAUCAUGUUGGCAGUAAAAGCAGCCUCAGAUAACAAGCUAAGAAACAGUUCAUCAUCUCUCUGGAUGCUGGGCGCCCUGAUCAUCCAGUCGCUUCUCCUGGUUGCUGUGCUGGCAUAUUGUAUCCUGUCCCCUAAAAAUAACAAGAAAUUUUGCAAAAAGAGCAAGGAAAAAGAAGCACAAAAUACGGUCUACGAAGACAUGUCUUGCAGCCUGAGGCAAGAGUCCCUGCCUGGAACAAAUCUGUACUAUACCUAAUCUACAGUUAGUUUUGCUGAAGGCGGCUAAAAUUUGGAUUCACUUAUAUAAUUGUCGAAGUAUCUGCAACUCAUUUUGAAACCCUGUCAAAAUGUGUACAUGGAGUACAGGAUGUUGCAUUUAGCUCAUAUUGUUUGGUUAAAAGUUGGUACUUGAACCCCAAGUUCUGAAUUCAAAUUUGAAUUUUUGAAAAAUGCACAUGUUUCUAAUUGCUUCUGAUGAUGCUUCUAAUUGCCUCUGAGCUCUGAGGUGGCUUGAAUCAUCUCCAUAUGGAAAAGGCUUCAAGAAGCCAUUGCCUCUUUGUACAGUCCACAACACCACUAUAGCCCUAUAUUUUAGCUUCAUGUUUUAACCUAUGAUGUUUCAUGGCAUUGAGGUUUUAAAAUGUAAGAGGAACAGUUAGUUAUAUGAGCAAAACAGUUAACAUAUCCAAACUGUAGCAUUUCCACGAUGAAUUUCACAACUUUUUAUCAGUAGUUGCAACUGAAGGAGGUGCAAAUCUUACUAUUGGAAUGCCACUAGAAGCUAUUAAAGUUGAAUGGCUUACCAAAAAUAUGUCAAAAAGUUGUUAUGUUUAGAAUUUUGCACAUAUGUUUUAGGGGUUAUGGGAGUUAUAAUUUCCUAUGAAAUCAUUUGUGUACUGUCCUGUAAUAAUAGAUAAUGUGGAAGUAAUUGGAAUGGACAGUUAAGUGUGCUUAGACAAUAAUAUAUCUUACAAUAAUUGUACAAUUAUAUACUUGUGACCAGGUGAACAAGCAGGAAAAGGUAUGAAAUUUCAAGAGCUUGGAAAGUUAGAUCUGAAAAUUAUUUUUGUUGUUGUUGAUAAUGGUUAGAAAUAGGAGACUGAUUUUUAAUAUUUAAACCUAAAACCACAUUUAACUCAUGGAAUUCACAUUGUUAAUCCAUUAAUGAAACCAUUAAUUUUGAAAUAAACAAUGGAGUUUACAGAGAAUGGUGUGUAGG